Molecule: ribosomal RNA, 492 nt
Filed under: uncultured bacterium
Lineage: Bacteria
Description: partial 16S ribosomal RNA
Rfam family: Bacterial small subunit ribosomal RNA
Source: RNAcentral
AGUGAACGCUGGCGGUAGGCCUAACACAUGCAAGUCGAACGGCAGCACAGUAAGAGCUUGCGCUUACGGGUGGCGAGUGGCGGACGGGUGAGGAAUACAUCGGAAUCUACUUUUUCGUGGGGGAUAACGUAGGGAAACUUACGCUAAUACCGCAUAUGACCUACGGGUGAAAGCAGGGGAUCUUCGGACCUUUCGCGAUUGAAUGAGCCGAUGUCGGAUUAGCUAGUUGGCGGGGUAAAGGCCCACCAAGGCGACGAUCCGUAGCUGGUCUGAGAGGAUGAUCAGCCACCCUGGAACUGAGACACGGUCAAGACUCCUACGGGAGGCAGCAGUGGGGAAUAUUGGACAAUGGGCGCAAGCCUGAUACAGCCAUACCGCGUGGGUGACGAAGGCCUUCGGGUUGUAAAGCCCUUUUGUUGGGAAAGAAAAGCAGCAGGUUAAUACCCCGCUGUUCUGACGGUACCCAAAGAAUAAGCACCGGCUAACUUCGUG